UAUAUAUAUAUAUAUAUAUAUAUAAAACAACACUUAUAUAUGUACGGAUUUUGAAGUAUUUUUGCCUUCACAUGUCAUCCAUCACCAGAUAGAACAUUCAAGGUUCCAUGAAUAAUCCAUUAUAUAAUGCCCUCCAGGUGAUAGACGAUAUAAAAUUAUUUGACUUGGUGGAGUUCCUCCCACGAGGUUUAUUUUGCAAAAUAUUGAGCUAAAGUGACUCCUUAAUUAUGUUUCACGUGCAUGCAACUAUGCAAGUGUAAACAAGGAAGUAAGGAACAAAUCAAUGGCCUCCUGGCUUAAUGGCAUCCCGCCCCCCAUUUGUGAGACUUGAACAAAAAGGGGAGAGAGAGAGAGAGAGAGAAGAAAAAUUAGCAAACAGUGAGGUGAUGAAGAGCUGUCAACGUUGGAUGUCUAGUCUACCUUGACUUUGAAAAGUCUGCUUUUAAUUGAUACGUUGAGGCCAAGAAAUUCUUCUAAGAGAACAAAUGGAGAAUCUAAAUGGAAUUUGUCAAUUUUGCGCGUGUUUGAAAGUCCACUCUAGGCCUAAACUGUUCAGCCUUAUUCACCUUUGUGUCCUCGCCGUAAACAUUCUUUGGAGCCCUUGUUUAUGCUCUCUGAUCAAUCACCAUGUGACUCUGUCCUUUGCAGAAUGGUUUUGUAAUGGAACCUUGUUUCCUUUAAGCCUCAGCUCUCAGGCAUUUUGGCUGAGUCCUAUAUAUGGAUUUUUUGAAUCCUUGCUAUGGCCAGCAAAUGGUGAAGAUUCUAUCUGGAUGUGACCAUAAUAAUUUAUACUGCAAUAACAAACAAAUGCCAAAGAGUCUUCGGACGUAUAUGGUGAAUGUUGUUAGAUUGACUAAAAGCAUUCCGACUCUUGGCUAUCAUUAUAUUAUCGAGCCUUAUCAGGAACUUCAGGCUCUCUUUGAGAUAUGAUUUUAGUGGAUAUUGCAACCAAAGACUUAUUCUCAAAGGAACAGCUUGUUCUUAUUGCAAGGAAUGGUGCCAGGCAUCCAGAAUGCUGGUGCAGGAUGAGUGGCUUAAAUGUGGAGCAUGGUGAUGAUAUUUCAAACAAAUUGGCUGCAACAUCCAAUUUCCUCCCAAUUCCUGCUGAUCAGUUACGGCUUGCCUACUAAUCUUGUAAUGAGGAACAUUGUUAAAAGUGGGAGAAGAUACACCAAACCUGUUUGAUGCAAGGGCCUGUGAGGGAAUUGGAGCAUAUGAUUGUGGAAAGCUCUGAUGGUUUGGCCUAUCAUUCAGCUGUAUUUCGAGAAUACUUAAUACAUUUUCUUAAUUUUAUGUGAAACAUUUUUAAAGGCGAAAUAUUUUUGUCAAGA
Molecule: long non-coding RNA, 1331 nt
Organism: Quercus robur (English oak)
Lineage: Eukaryota; Viridiplantae; Streptophyta; Magnoliopsida; Fagales; Fagaceae
Exons: 2
Source: RefSeq, a predicted model, not a curated record